Molecule: ribosomal RNA, 406 nt
Filed under: uncultured bacterium
Lineage: Bacteria
Description: partial 16S ribosomal RNA
Rfam family: Bacterial small subunit ribosomal RNA
Source: RNAcentral
AUUGAACGCUGGCGGCAGGCCUAACACAUGCAAGUCGCACGAGUGGCGGACGGGUGAGUAAUGUCUGGGAAACUGCCUGAUGGCGGGGGAUAACUACUGGAAACGGUAGCUAAUACCGCAUACCAUCAGAUGUUCCCAGAUGGGAUUAGCUAGUUGGUGGGGUAACGGCUCACCAAGGCGACGAUCCCUAGCUGGUCUGAGAGGAUGACCAGCCACACGGGAACUGAGACACGGUCCAGACGCCUACGGGAGGCAGCAGUGGGGAAUAUUGCACAAAGGGCGCAAGCCUGAUGCAGCCAGGCCGCGUGUAUGAAGAAGGCCGUCGGGUUGUAAAGUACUUUCAGCGGGGAGGCGUUACCCGCAGAAGAAGCACCGGCUAACUCCGUGCCAGCAGCCGCGGUAAUAC